CGCAUGCCCGGCCCUGCCGCCAUCUUGAAUUGAGUACCGUGCUUCUUGUUUCCUCACGCUGCCCCACGAAGCUGGGGGGUCAGCAGGACCAUUUGACACCUGGAACUCUGGUCUAAAGUGCCAGAUUCGAGGCCUCUACACGCGGCGCCAUAUGAGCGGGUCAAAUUAGUCUGAGCGCAAAGGAAAAAAGAUACCUUAGGUGUAAAAGUUAAGCUGUUUAUUUGAGGUUUCCUGAGGACGAAUAAAUUUAUUCUAUUUUAAAAGAUGAUCACUGGACACACUUGUUUUUCCAGUGUUUCUCUACCACCAAUUUGGAAAAGAAACCUGUAAAGGAGCAUCACUAGCAACAUUACUUUGAUAAAGUACAAGAAGACACACCAAAAAUUUAAUAAUAAUGUGCUAAUAAAAUUAUUAAGUUCACCAGACAUAUAUUACAUAAUAUUAUUUUGUGAGAUAACUAACACUUUAGCCUUUCUCAUUUUACAUUUUAACUAAAUUUAUCACAAAAGAAAUGUAAAAAUACCAUAUAUUAUUUUAUAAGACCAGGCCCACUCAUAUAACAUCAGCAUUUAUAUUUACCUCAGUAAAGUUAAUGAAGUCAAAUUCUAUGUGGCCAUCCUGACCGUGUCAUGAAAAGUAUACAUUCUAACUAGAUUUGUUUUGGAGUAUUAAUUACCACCACUCUUGAAUGUAAUUAAUGUGUCAUUUUUAAAACCUGGGAAGAGCUUUAACAUAGAAACUUGGACAUCUUUCCAAAUUCAAGUUCAUUUUUUGGAUCAGUACAAUAGCAAACACAUAUAAUACUUUGUGCCAGAUUCUAUUGUAUGUAACUUACAUAUAUGACCUUAGACCAAAACCUGAUGAGAUAGGCUCUAAGAUUAUGUAAGUUUGUGUUUGAGGAAAUUGAAAUCCACAGAGGACAAUUAAUUUGCUUGGGGCCACAUAGCUUUUAAGCUGUAGAACUGGUGUUUUAACACAUGGCUCUUUCCAGAGUCAGUGUUCAGAAUCACCACACUGUACUACCUCCUUACUUAGUCGUAAUUUAUUCUUAAACCAAAAUGGUACCAUGCAACUUAAUCAUUCAUCAAUAUCCUACAAAUUGUUUCCAAAUGACUUUGAACUGUGUCCAAAGGCAAACCUAAACUCAAUGAAUUAAGAGUUAUAAUCAUUGCAGCCCUUGAAUAAAUAUGUCGCAUAUUUCCAGCAUUAUGCCAGUGAAUAUUUAACUAGCAUUCUGAAGCAUGUAUGGGGGUGGGGGAGUCCUUAUUUGUUGGCCUUGCUGACUUCUGUGGUAUAACUACUUCCAACAUAAAACUGUCAACCUUCUAAUGUGGAAUCACAGAAGGCAGAGAUGGUACAGUUGUCUCUCAUGAAUUUGUGAAGACCUAGAUCCAUCCUGCUAUAUUUCUAAAAGUGCUUUUAAAAACAUCAGUGUUGAAAUCAACAUUUAAUUUUAAUCAGGACUUUUCUUGCUUAAAAUUCUUUAGUGAAUUCCCUUUAAUGCUCAGGAUAGAAUCCAAACUUCUUAAUCAUAGCUUACAGGACCCUCUAUGGUAUUACCACUAGAGAAUGUCUUCUCUGUGGACAAUAGCUAGUUAUACUCUGUUUCAAUCUUAUCCAAAUUAUUAUUAUUUUUUGUCUUUUGUCUUUUUAGGGCUGUACCCACAGCAUAUGGAGGUGCCCAG
Molecule: non-coding RNA, 1685 nt
Organism: Sus scrofa (pig)
Lineage: Eukaryota; Metazoa; Chordata; Mammalia; Artiodactyla; Suidae
Source: RefSeq, a predicted model, not a curated record